This 226-nucleotide long non-coding RNA is filed under the name Chinchilla lanigera (long-tailed chinchilla). Its description in RNAcentral is "lncRNA (ENSCLAG00000025226.1)". Lineage: Eukaryota; Metazoa; Chordata; Mammalia; Rodentia; Chinchillidae. The record is from RNAcentral.
UAGACACAGCAUGCACUGGAUCUCACAGCCAAAGGGAGUUUGCUCCGGCUUAAAGCUCCUAUGCCAUUAAGCCAUUAAGCUACUCUCGGUUCCUGGAAAAUCUCUCCUCAGUGUCUCAUCUGCUUGCCAGCUGAGGUCUUACUGUGGCUCCUUGGCCACUAGCACAUGAGGUACAGCCCAGUAACGAGCAGGGAGCAGAGCAGCAAUGCCAGGGUGCAGCGUCUCG